UGGCUGUCCCGUGGUGAUUUGGCCGGUCGGCUUGCAGCCACGUAAAAUAAAUCGCUAAAAAGGCCGAGGAUGACAAGUU
RNAcentral lists this non-coding RNA (79 nucleotides) under Kaistia sp. Lineage: Bacteria; Pseudomonadati; Pseudomonadota; Alphaproteobacteria; Hyphomicrobiales; Kaistiaceae. The record is from RNAcentral.